AGUGAACGCUGGCGGUAGGCCUAACACAUGCGAGUCGAACGGCAGCACAGUAAGAGCUUGCUCUUACGGGUGGCGAGUGGCGGACGGUUGAGGAAUACAUCGGAAUCUACUUUUUCGUGGGGGAUAACGUCGGGAAACUUACCCUAAUACCGCAUACGACCUACGGGUGAAAUCAGCGGAUCUUCGGACCUUGCGCGAUUCGAUGAGCCGAUGUCUGAUUAGCUAGUUGGCGGGGUAAAGGCCCACCAAUGCGACGAUCCGUAGCUGGUCUGAGAGGAAGAUCAGCCACACUGGGACUGAGACACGGUCCAGACUCCUACGGGAGGCAGCAGUGGGGAAUAUUGGACAAUGGGCGAAAGCCUGAUCCAGCAAUACCGCGUGGGUGAAGAAGGACUUCGGGUUGUAAAGCCCUUUUGUUGGGAAAGAAAAGCAGCAGGUUAAUACCCCGCUGUUAUGACGGUACCCGAAGAAUAAGCACCGGCUAACUUCGUG
RNAcentral lists this ribosomal RNA (492 nucleotides) under uncultured bacterium. Its description in RNAcentral is "partial 16S ribosomal RNA". It matches the Rfam family "Bacterial small subunit ribosomal RNA", at positions 29 to 507 of the family's 1533-position model. The record is from RNAcentral.